AUACGGAGGGUGCGAGCGUUACCCGGAUUCACUGGGCGUAAAGGGCGUGUAGGCGGUGGCCCACGUCGGGUGUCAAAGCCCGCGGCGCAACCGCGGUCCCGCACCCGAUACGGGGCCACUAGACGGCGGGAGAGGGGAGCGGAAUUCCCGGAGUAGCGGUGAAAUGCGUAGAUACCGGGAGGAACGCCCAUGGUGAAGGCAGCUCCCUGGACCGCCCGUGACGCUGAGGCGCGAAAGCGUGGGGAGCAAACAGGAUUAGAUACCCUAGUAGUCC
Molecule: ribosomal RNA, 274 nt
Filed under: uncultured bacterium
Lineage: Bacteria
Description: partial 16S ribosomal RNA
Rfam family: Bacterial small subunit ribosomal RNA
Source: RNAcentral